AAUAGGCCACACAACAAAGAACACGGAGGAGAAUGCUGGGGUUUGAUCUCAAUUUUCCCUUUAUUUCUCAGUUCUACUUUCCCUAGAGUUUUGUACAGAGGAAGAGUUUCGGCUACAUGAAUCAUGUCUAGCGAGGAGGCCUUGAAGACUCUAAGAGGGUGAGAUAAAGUAUCCCAAACAUUUCCAAAGCCAAACUGGAACUGCACACUGAUUAAUCUGCAGAGAGGCCAGCCUAAAGCUCCAACUCUUCAGAGCUAAUCAAGUGGAAACACAUUGGGGAAAUCCAGGUCAACUAUAAUUCCCAUCAUGACUAAGCAGCAUAAAGACUCUGACUACAGUGACCUAGAACUGACCUCAGGGAGAAAUCAGUCAAAACAGAAUCAUUCAUUUCCAGGAUUCUUGGUCACUCAAGAUCUCUCACAAGACUGCAGUCAAGGCCAGGGCUCCAGUCUCAUCUGAAGACUUGACUAAGUAGAAUUUGCUUCUAAGUUCGCUCACAUAAUUGUUGGCAAGAUUUACUUCCUUGUGGACUGUCAGAGGGAGGGUCUGGUUCCCUGCUGGCCAAAGGCAAUAGUCCUUCCUCAAGUCCUUGCCAUCGGGGUUCUCAUAAGGCAGUUCACAAUAUGAACUGUGUGUGCAUGUGUGUGUGUGUGUGUGUGUGUGAGAGAGAGAGAGAGAGAGAGAGAGAGAUGGGGGACAGGUAGGGAGGAAAAAAAGAGAAUGAGCAAGAUGGAAAUCACAGUCUUUUUGAAAUGUAGUCUUUAAUUUUUUCCCAUCUUUGUGUAUUUUAUUUAUUUAUUUGCCAUAUAAUGUAUUAUUUCAGGGGUACAGUGUAAUGUGCUCUUGAAAGCUACAUCCCAGCCCCUCUUUUGUAUUUUCUUUGUUGGAAGCAAAUCAUUAGAUCAAGGCUCUCCUGGGAUGACACAGAGAAUGAAUACCAGGAGGAAGGGAUCUCUGGGGGCCGUCUUGUAGAGGGUGCCUAUCUUUUUACUAUUGUUAUCACUUUUUAAAAAAUGUUUGAACAAGGUCAUCAUUGUUAGAAAAUUUAUCAUUUCUUUUUGUCCUUGAACUCAUAAUUCCAUUCUACGAAUUUCUCCUGAAUUUUGUUUUAAUCUAGUAUAUGUUUAUGCCUGGAAUUAUUUUAUUGAUUUCCUUAUCAUACAUCAC
RNAcentral lists this long non-coding RNA (1167 nucleotides) under Mustela putorius furo (domestic ferret). RNAcentral describes it as "lncRNA (ENSMPUG00000026247.1)". The record is from RNAcentral. Lineage: Eukaryota; Metazoa; Chordata; Mammalia; Carnivora; Mustelidae.